Molecule: ribosomal RNA, 801 nt
Filed under: uncultured Pelagibacteraceae bacterium
Lineage: Bacteria; Pseudomonadati; Pseudomonadota; Alphaproteobacteria; Candidatus Pelagibacterales; Candidatus Pelagibacteraceae
Description: bacterial SSU rRNA
Rfam family: Bacterial small subunit ribosomal RNA
Source: RNAcentral
GCUGGCGGCACGCCUAACACAUGCAAGUCGAACGAAGUAGCAAUACUUAGUGGCAGACGGGUGAGUAACAUGUAGGUAUCUACCCUUUGGCCUGGAAUAACACGAGGAAACUUGUGCUAAUACCGGAUAAGUCUUUACGGAGAAAGCUUUAUGCACCAUUGGAUGAGCCUGCACUUGAUUAGUUUGUUGGUGGGGUAAUGGCCUACCAAGACUUUGAUCAAUAGCUGAUUUGAGAGGAUGAUCAGCCACAUUGGGACUGAGACACGGCCCAAACUCCUACGGGAGGCAGCAGUGGGGAAUCUUGCACAAUGGAGGAAACUCUGAUGCAGCGAUGCCGCGUGAGUGAAGAAGGCCUUUGGGUUGUAAAGCUCUUUCGUCGGGGAAGAAAAUGACUGUACCCGAAUAAGAAGGUCCGGCUAACUUCGUGCCAGCAGCCGCGGUAAUACGAAGGGACCUAGCGUAGUUCGGAAUUACUGGGCUUAAAGAGUUCGUAGGUGGUUGAAAAAGUUGGUGGUGAAAUCCCAGAGCUUAACUCUGGAACUGCCAUCAAAACUUUUCAGCUAGAGUUUGAUAGAGGAAAGCAGAAUUUCUAGUGUAGAGGUGAAAUUCGUAGAUAUUAGAAAGAAUACCAAUUGCGAAGGCAGCUUUCUGGAUCAUUACUGACACUGAGGAACGAAAGCAUGGGUAGCGAAGAGGAUUAGAUACCCUCGUAGUCCAUGCCGUAAACGAUGUGUGUUAGACGUUGGAAAUUUAUUUUCAGUGUCGCAGCGAAAGCGAUAAACACACCGCCUGGGGAGUACG